AGGCGUGUAGCUCAGCUGGUUAGAGCACCACCUUGACAUGGUGGGGGUCGUUGGUUCGAGUCCAAUCGCGCCUACCA
This 77-nucleotide transfer RNA is filed under the name Rubrivivax sp. RNAcentral describes it as "tRNA-Val". It matches the Rfam family "tRNA". From Rfam's summary of the family: Transfer RNA (tRNA) molecules are approximately 80 nucleotides in length. Their secondary structure includes four short double-helical elements and three loops (D, anti-codon, and T loops). Lineage: Bacteria; Pseudomonadati; Pseudomonadota; Betaproteobacteria; Burkholderiales; Sphaerotilaceae. RNAcentral also lists the same sequence under 3 other names. The record is from RNAcentral.